UACGGAGGGAGCUAGCGUUAUUCGGAAUUACUGGGCGUAAAGCGCACGUAGGCGGCUUUGUAAGUUAGAGGUGAAAGCCUGGAGCUCAACUCCAGAAUUGCCUUUGAUACUGCAUGGCUUGAAUCCAGGAGAGGUGAGUGGAAUUCCGAGUGUAGAGGUGAAAUUCGUAGAUAUUCGGAAGAACACCAGUGGCGAAGGCGGCUCACUGGACUGGUAUUGACGCUGAGGUGCGAAAGCGUGGGGAGCAACAGG
This 252-nucleotide ribosomal RNA is filed under the name uncultured bacterium. Its description in RNAcentral is "partial 16S ribosomal RNA". It matches the Rfam family "Bacterial small subunit ribosomal RNA", at positions 524 to 775 of the family's 1533-position model. The record is from RNAcentral.